This 74-nucleotide transfer RNA is filed under the name Chryseobacterium angstadtii. RNAcentral's name for it is "tRNA-Arg". It matches the Rfam family "tRNA". Rfam says of the family: Transfer RNA (tRNA) molecules are approximately 80 nucleotides in length. The record is from RNAcentral. Lineage: Bacteria; Pseudomonadati; Bacteroidota; Flavobacteriia; Flavobacteriales; Weeksellaceae.
AAUUCUGUAGCUCAACCGGAUAGAGCGUCGGUUUUCUAAACUGAAGAUUAGAGGUUCGAUCCCUCUCAGAAUCA